RNAcentral lists this ribosomal RNA (468 nucleotides) under uncultured bacterium. RNAcentral describes it as "partial 16S ribosomal RNA". It matches the Rfam family "Bacterial small subunit ribosomal RNA", at positions 28 to 507 of the family's 1533-position model. The record is from RNAcentral.
GAUGAACGCUGGCGGCGUGCUUAACACAUGCAAGUCGAACGGAAAGGCCCAAGCUUGCUUGGGUACUCGAGUGGCGAACGGGUGAGUAACACGUGGGUGAUCUGCCCUGCACUUCGGGAUAAGUCUGGGAAACUGGGUCUAAUACCGGAUAGGACGAUGGUUUGGAUGCCAUUGUGGAAAGUUUUUUCGGUGUGGGAUGAGCUCGCGGCCUAUCAGCUUGUUGGUGGGGUAAUGGCCUACCAAGGCGUCGACGGGUAGCCGGCCUGAGAGGGUGUACGGCCACAUUGGGACUGAGAUACGGCCCAGACUCCUACGGGAGGCAGCAGUGGGGAAUAUUGCACAGUGGGCGCAAGCCUGAUGCAGCGACGCCGCGUGGGGGAUGACGGCCUUCGGGUUGUAAACUCCUUUCGCUAGGGACGAAGCGUUUUUGUGACGGUACCUGGAGAAGAAGCACCGGCUAACUACGUG